Molecule: transfer RNA, 185 nt
Filed under: Marmota monax (woodchuck)
Lineage: Eukaryota; Metazoa; Chordata; Mammalia; Rodentia; Sciuridae
Description: tRNA.Ala
Source: RNAcentral
GGGGUUGUGGCUCAGUGGCAGAGCACUUGCCUCGCACAUGUGAGGCACUGGAUUUGAUCCUCAACCCCGCAUAAAAAAUAAAGCAAACAAAAUAAAGAUAUUGUGUACAGGGCUGGGGCUGUUGCUCAGCAGUAGAGCACUCAUCUAGCAUGUGUGAGGCCCUGGGUUUGAUCCUCAGCACCACA